GACGAACGCUGGCGGCGUGCCUAAUACAUGCAAGUAGAACGCUGAAGGAGGAGCUUGCUUCUCUGGAUGAGUUGCGAACGGGUGAGUAACGCGUAGGUAACCUGCCUGGUAGCGGGGGAUAACUAUUGGAAACGAUAGCUAAUACCGCAUAAGAGUAGAUGUCGCAUGACAUUUGCUUAAAAGGUGCAAUUGCAUCACUACCAGAUGGACCUGCGUUGUAUUAGCUAGUUGGUGAGGUAACGGCUCACCAAGGCAACGAUACAUAGCCGACCUGAGAGGGUGAUCGGCCACACUGGGACUGAGACACGGCCCAGACUCCUACGGGAGGCAGCAGUAGGGAAUCUUCGGCAAUGGACGGAAGUCUGACCGAGCAACGCCGCGUGAGUGAAGAAGGUUUUCGGAUCGUAAAGCUCUGUUGUAAGAGAAGAGCGAGUAUGAGAGUGGAAAGUUCACACUGUGACGGUAUCUUACCAGAAAGGGACGGCUAACUACGUG
This 495-nucleotide ribosomal RNA is filed under the name uncultured bacterium. RNAcentral's name for it is "partial 16S ribosomal RNA". It matches the Rfam family "Bacterial small subunit ribosomal RNA", at positions 28 to 507 of the family's 1533-position model. The record is from RNAcentral.